This 492-nucleotide ribosomal RNA is filed under the name uncultured bacterium. Its description in RNAcentral is "partial 16S ribosomal RNA". It matches the Rfam family "Bacterial small subunit ribosomal RNA", at positions 29 to 507 of the family's 1533-position model. The record is from RNAcentral.
AGUGAACGCUGGCGGUAGGCCUAACACAUGCAAGUCGAACGGCAGCACAGUAAGAGCUUGCUCUUACGGGUGGCGAGUGGCGGACGGGUGAGGAAUACAUCGGCAUCUACUUUUUCGUGGGGGAUAACGUAGGGAAACUUACGCUAAUACCGCAUACGACCUACGGGUGAAAGCAGGAGAUCUUCGGACCUUGCGCGAUUGAAUGAGCCGAUGUCGGAUUAGCUAGUUGGCGGGGUAAAGGCCCACCAAGGCGACGAUACGUAGCUGGUCUGAGAGGAUGAUCAGCCACACUGGAACUGAGACACGGUCCAGACUCCUACGGGAGGCAGCAGUGGGGAAUAUUGGACAAUGGGCGCAAGCCUGAUCCAGCCAUACCGCGUGGGUGAAGAAGGCCUUCGGGUUGUAAAGCCCUUUUGUUGGGAAAGAAAAGCAGCAGGUUAAUACCCCGCUGUUCUGACGGUACCCAAAGAAUAAGCACCGGCUAACUUCGUG